AUACGCCCUACGGGGGAAAGGGGGGGAUCUUAGGACCUCUCACUAUUGGAGCGGCCGAUAUCGGAUUAUCUAGUUGGUGGGGUAAAGGCCUACCAAGGCGACGAUCCGUAGCUGGUUUGAGAGGACGACCAGCCACACUGGGACUGAGACACGGCCCAAACUCCUACGGGAGGCAGCAGUGGGGAAUUUUGGACAAUGGGGGAAACCCUGAUCCAGCCAUCCCGCGUGUGCGAUGAAGGCCUUCGGGUUGUAAAGCACUUUUGUCAGGGAAGAAAAGGUUUCGGAUAAUACCCGGAACUGAUGACGGUACCUGAAGAAUAAGCACCGGCUAACUACGUGCCAGCAGCCGCGGUAAUACGUAGGGUGCAAGCGUUAAUCGGAAUUACUGGGCGUAAAGCGUGCGCAGGCGGUUCGGAAAGAAAGAUGUGAAAUCCCAGGGCUCAACCUUGGAACUGCAUUUUUAACUACCGAACUAGAGUAUGUCAGAGGGGGGUGGAAUUCCACGUGUAGCAGUGAAAUGCGUAGAUAUGUGGAGGAACACCGAUGGCGAAGGCACCCCCCUGGGAUAAUACUGACGCUCAUGCACUAAAGCGUGGGGAGCAAACACGAUUAGAUACCCUGGUAGUCCACGCCCUAAACGUCUCAACUAGCUGUUGCGCCCUUCGGGGCUUAGUAGCGCAGCUAACGCGUGAAGUUCACGCCCUGGUGAGU
Molecule: ribosomal RNA, 711 nt
Filed under: Advenella sp.
Lineage: Bacteria; Pseudomonadati; Pseudomonadota; Betaproteobacteria; Burkholderiales; Alcaligenaceae
Description: bacterial SSU rRNA
Rfam family: Bacterial small subunit ribosomal RNA
Source: RNAcentral